This 471-nucleotide ribosomal RNA is filed under the name uncultured bacterium. Its description in RNAcentral is "bacterial SSU rRNA". It matches the Rfam family "Bacterial small subunit ribosomal RNA", at positions 26 to 518 of the family's 1533-position model. The record is from RNAcentral.
AGGACGAACGCUGGCGGCGUGCUUCAUACAUGCAAGUCGAACGAGAAAUCAACUUCGGUUGGUGGAAAGUGGCGGACGGGUGAGUAAUGUGUAGAGAAUCUGCCCUUAGCGGGGGACAACAGUUGGAAACGACUGCUAAUACCCCAUAUGCGCGUAGUUGCAAUACUAUUCGUGAAAACUCCGGUGCUAAAGGAUGAGUCUGCAUCUGAUUAGCUAGUUGGCGGUGUAAUGGACCACCAAGGCGACGAUCAGUAGCUGGUUUGAGAGGAUGAUCAGCCACAAUGGGACUGAGACACGGCCCAUACUCCUACGGGAGGCAGCAGUAGGGAAUUUUGCGCAAUGGGCGAAAGCCUGACGCAAGCAACGCCGCGUGAUUGAAUAAGCCCUUCGGGGUGUAAAGAUCUGUCAGUGGGGACGAAACUUGACGGUACCCACAGAGGAAGCAUCGGCUAACUCCGUGCCAGCCGCAGC